Non-coding RNA from Arachis ipaensis, 471 nucleotides. The record is from RefSeq and is a predicted model, not a curated record. NCBI's taxonomy places the organism in Eukaryota, Viridiplantae, Streptophyta, Magnoliopsida, Fabales, Fabaceae.
CGCCCCCGCCUCAAAAUUUCCCCCCCCCCCGCCUCAAAAUUUUCAUUCUCCCCUCUUCACACUUCAAAGCACCCUCACCCCGUUCUCCUCUCCCUCACGUCACAGGCCAGGCUUAGUCUAAAGUUGUCGUAGCUUGUUUAAUGCAAGGUAUAGUUUGGUCCGUUUUCAUCUUGUAAUGAGAAAUAGCAUUGUCAUUGCGUUUCCUUUGAGAUUGAGACCAAACAUUAGCAAUACUCUACUACAUCACAAGUUCCGGCCAACCUGCUUUCACAGCCAUGAAGGUACGCACACCACAGCUUUAACGCUUUCAAUAGCCUAGGGCACUUCAUUCGUCGCAUGUUCUUGUUCCUCCCCUCUCUCUCUCUCUGACAUACCAUUAGUUGUGUGCCCUACCCCGCUCCUCAAACAAAGCCCAUGGCGCUUCAUUUCGAGGUUCAACUCCCCAUCUAUCUAUUUAUCUAUCAAUCUAUC